Molecule: unclassified non-coding RNA, 520 nt
Filed under: uncultured Glomus
Lineage: Eukaryota; Fungi; Glomeromycota; Glomeromycetes; Glomerales; Glomeraceae
Description: SSU rRNA
Rfam family: Eukaryotic small subunit ribosomal RNA
Source: RNAcentral
AGCAGCCGCGGUAAUUCCAGCUCCAAUAGCGUAUAUUAAAGUUGUUGCAGUUAAAAAGCUCGUAGUUGAAUUUCGAGAUCAAAUUGUUGGUCGUGCCUUGGUACGCACUGGCAUUAUUGGUUUCUCCCUUCUGACGAACCAUGAUGUCAUUAAUUUGGUGUCUUGGGGAAUCAGGACUGUUACUUUGAAAAAAUUAGAGUGUUUAAAGCAGGCUCACGCUUGAAUACAUUAGCAUGGAAUAAUGAAAUAGGACGUUUGAUUCUAUUUUGUUGGUUUCUAGGAUCGACGUAAUGAUUAAUAGGGAUAGUUGGGGGCAUUAGUAUUCAAUUGUCAGAGGUGAAAUUCUUGGAUUUAUUGAAGACUAACUACUGCGAAAGCAUUUGCCAAGGAUGUUUUCAUUAAUCAAGAACGAAAGUUAGGGGAUCGAAGACGAUCAGAUACCGUCGUAGUCUUAACCAUAAACUAUGCCGACUAGGGAUCGGAUGAUGCUAAUUUUUUAAUGACUCAUUCGGCGCCUUAC